AGCUAUAASUUCUCUGUAUCGCAGCUAACGCAAUAAGCACUCCGCCUGGGGAGUACGACCKCAAGGUUGAAACUCAAAGGAAUUGACGGGGGMCCGCACAAGCGGUGGAGCAUGUGGUWUAAUUCGAAGCAACGCGAAGAACCUUACCAGGUCUUGACAUACUCGUGCUAYUCCUAGAGAUAGGAAGUUCCUUCGGGACACGGGAUACAGGUGGUGCAUGGUUGUCGUCAGCUCGUGUCGUGAGAUGUUGGGUUAAGUCCCGCAACGAGCGCAACCCCUAUUGUUAGUUGCCAUCAUUAAGUUGGGCACUCUAACGAGACUGCCGGUGAUAAACCGGAGGAAGGUGGGGAUGACGUCAAAUCAUCAUGCCCCUUAUGACCUGGGCUACACACGUGCUACAAUGGAUGGUACAACGAGUCGCGAGACAGUGAUGUUUAGCUAAUCUCUUAAAACCAUUCUCAGUUCGGAUUGUAGGCUGCAACUCGCCUACAUGAAGUCGGAAUCGCUAGUAAUCGCGGAUCAGCACGCCGCGGUGAAUACGUUCCCGGGCCUUGUACACACCGCCCGUCACACCACGGGAGUUGGGAGUACCCGUAGUAGCUAGCCUGCC
Molecule: ribosomal RNA, 610 nt
Filed under: Lactococcus lactis
Lineage: Bacteria; Bacillati; Bacillota; Bacilli; Lactobacillales; Streptococcaceae
Description: bacterial SSU rRNA
Source: RNAcentral